RNAcentral lists this ribosomal RNA (517 nucleotides) under Acinetobacter baumannii. RNAcentral's name for it is "bacterial SSU rRNA". It matches the Rfam family "Bacterial small subunit ribosomal RNA", at positions 66 to 537 of the family's 1533-position model. The record is from RNAcentral. Lineage: Bacteria; Pseudomonadati; Pseudomonadota; Gammaproteobacteria; Moraxellales; Moraxellaceae.
GCGGGAGAGGUACUUGCUACUGAUCUUAGCGGCGGACGGGUGAGUAAUGCUUAGGAAUCUGCCUAUUAGUGGGGGACAACAUUUCGAAAGGAAUGCUAAUACCGCAUACGUCCUACGGGAGAAAGCAGGGGAUCUUCGGACCUUGCGCUARUAGAUGAGCCUAAGUCGGAUUAGCUAGUUGGUGGGGUAAAGGCCUACCAAGGCGACGAUCUGUAGCGGGUCUGAGAGGAUGAUCCGCCACACUGGGACUGAGACACGGCCCAGACUCCUACGGGAGGCAGCAGUGGGGAAUAUUGGACAAUGGGCGCAAGCCUGAUCCAGCCAUGCCGCGUGUGUGAAGAAGGCCUUAUGGUUGGUAAAGCACUUUAAGCGAGGAGGAGGCUACUUUUAGUUAAUACCUUAGAGAUAGUGGACGUUACUCCCAGAAAUAAGCCACCGGYUAACUCUGKGGCCCAACAACCCGCGGGUAAAUACCAAAAGGGGUGGCAAAGCGGUUUAAUCCGGAUUUUUACUUGGG